RNAcentral lists this long non-coding RNA (1805 nucleotides) under Leguminivora glycinivorella. RNAcentral's name for it is "uncharacterized LOC125236635". Lineage: Eukaryota; Metazoa; Arthropoda; Insecta; Lepidoptera; Tortricidae. The record is from RNAcentral.
AUUUCAAGAUUUUCAAGCUAGCCCGAAAAGUCACCAAAAAUCGUAACUCCCAUGUCACCAAGGAGGGCUAAAAGUCACCAAAAUGGUGACUUUUGGAACCGUCUAGCAACACUGAUUAAGGAAGGGCAGGGCGGGGCACCAUUAUCGCGUGUUGCCAAUUAUAAAGAAAAAUGUUGGGUAGUAUAAUAUAGAGCCCUAUAACGAGAAAGGCAGUAUAUAUAAGUAUUCCCGACGUUUGGGCCGUGUAGAUUAUAUACACGUUUAUAAUCUCUCACGAAUCAGAAAUGUAAAAGUAAAACUCGUGCCACAUUAUAGUCUAAUGAAAUAUUGAGUGGCAACACCCAAUAAAAUGUCAUUCUGACAUUGAUAACUUUGACAAGCUACUCAAGCUCUCUAGCUAGCUAGUCUUUGUUGAGUCCAUGAUGAUAUUCGCGAUAUUUUUGCCGUGGUAUGCAAAUGCAAACAAAAACAAGAAGAAAGGGAAAACAUCAAAACAUGGAGUGUCUAGAAGUGGUGUCCAAAUUUGUAGGAAAACUCGACGUUUCUGAAGAAAAAUAAGUUCUUUUGGAAAAUCUUGGGAUGCUGAAAGACUUGCUGAUUGAAAAGAUUUGCUCAGUCAAAACAAAAUUUAGAGAAAAUAUCGUCAAUGACUGAUAUCAGUUUUUCUACAUUGAAAAGAAUAAAUAUUGAGGGAAAAGCUAACCAUGGUAUCUUCUGUACUCCAGGGAAGAAAGGAUCAGACAAGCCCACAAGAUAGAGCUAAUCUGGAGCUCAGCAAAGAGAAGAGUCACAAGCAAAAAUUUUGGCAUACCAGCAGCUGACCUUGAAAAACUUAUUCAGGAAGCUUUUGACAGCAUAACACCAGAGCUUUAGAAGAAAAUGACUCAUCAUGUGCUCAAUAUUGAAGCUCAGUGUAAAACCAGAAACAGAAUAAUGGAAGAACUUGAAUCGUUUAUUUUAAGUGUGUUUAAUGAUGAUGACUCUGACAGUAGUUCAGAAUCAAUGGACGCUGAGUUUCUAGAAUCCGAUUUUGAUUAUAGUUCCUAAUAAAGUACAAAACCUUCUUAAUUUUACAUAAUUUUAAAUUAAAGGAAAAAUAGAAAAAUUCACAUAAUAUAUCAUUUGCAGAUUAAAAAGUAACUUCUUAAUUUUACUUCAAUUUUUCCUUGCACAACAUAUUAGGCUCAUUCACUACAGAGAGUGCUCUGCUCUCGGUCAAUCGGUCAAAUGAACUAGUUGGUCUUUUAGUUCCUUUAGAUCAGUGGUUAUUGGGAGUCAGGGAUGAUUUAGGUCUGAUACAUUUCAUUCCAGACUCCUUUUACAUAUGAUAUUUUUCCAAUCUUUGGUAACUGAAUAUAAUUCCAAGUUUUAGUACCUAUAAUAUUAUCCAAGUUAUAUUUUAUAUAGAAAAUAUUUAAUUUUCCUGCAUAGAUUUAGACCUUAAACAUUCCUUUCAUCUCUUUCACACUUGUGCGAAUGGCAUUUUUUACUGUUUUGUUCCGCCUGUUAUCCAGUUCACUCGGUCAAGCGCUCUCCGAUCCCACUGAACUAUAGGACCUAAUAAGGACCGAUUCAGACCGUGCAAGAUUUAGUUCCUUUCGGUCAUUUAUGGGAUUUCAUUCCUAACAGUACUUAGCUCAUGACCGACACAAGCCUACAGCAUUGCGAUACAACGAGCAAAUGUCUCCAGCAUCCUUGGUACAAUGCCUAAAUGGCGUAGCUAUUGUAGACUAGGCUAGUUCUUAAUUUCAUUUCAUUAUGAUUUUAUUUAUUAUUGUAGAGAAAUAAAUGAUUAUGACAUUUUA